UCCAGGCUGAAGCGAUCCUCCCACCUCAACCUCCCACGUGGCUGAGACUACAGGUGCUUGCCACUAUGCCCAACUAACAUUUGGAAUUUUCGUAUACGUGGAUUCUAGAGGGGUGACAGCGAAACGUGAGUGACCUCACAGUGACUCAAGCUACCACUUACUGUUGAUUGUGACGAAAUGCCAGCUGAGGCACAUGCCUUGGGAGCUAAGUGGUUGCUGCCCUUGACCACUGUGAAGACUGGUGUGGGAAGGGUCGCUUUGGAUGCACUUGAGCAGGGGUCCCCAACCCCUGAGCCAUGGAGCCGCAAGGAGCCACACAGCAGGAGGUGGGACCAUCCAGUUGCAGGAAAACAAGCUUAACACGCCCACUGAUUCUACAUUAUGCUCCUACCUCCCGGCAGCCUCUCCAGGCCCAGAACUUUCUCCAGUCAGCCUCUACAGACCAAGCUCAUGACUCUCAAUGGCCUAUUUAGGCCCAUACCCUACGUCACGGCAGCCUCCGCAGAUGAGGCUACUGCCUCACAACAGCCUCCACAGGCACAGCUCCAUCGUUACAAUGGCCUCUUUAGACCCAGCUCCUGCCUCCCAGCCUUCUCUCCAGGCCCUGAACUUUCUCAAGUCAACCUCACCAGGCCCAGCUCAUGCUUCUUUGCAGCCUCUCCAGGCCCAGCUCCUGCAUCUUGGUGGCCCCUCCAGGCCCAGCCUCUGCCUCCCGUCAGCCUCUACAGUCCGAACGUCUGC
Molecule: long non-coding RNA, 741 nt
Filed under: Homo sapiens (human)
Lineage: Eukaryota; Metazoa; Chordata; Mammalia; Primates; Hominidae
Description: HSALNT0387912
Source: RNAcentral